This 97-nucleotide small RNA is filed under the name Furfurilactobacillus siliginis. RNAcentral describes it as "Lactobacillus siliginis SAM-III sequence". It matches the Rfam family "SAM-III riboswitch aptamer (SMK box)". The record is from Rfam by way of RNAcentral. Lineage: Bacteria; Bacillati; Bacillota; Bacilli; Lactobacillales; Lactobacillaceae.
CUUAGUUAUGAGUUUCGUUCCCGAUAGGAUAAGGUGGUUUUUCUACCUUAGAGGCCUUGUAACCGGAAAUUAUUUACGAUGGGGGAAACAUUUGAUG